Molecule: transfer RNA, 67 nt
Filed under: Marmota monax (woodchuck)
Lineage: Eukaryota; Metazoa; Chordata; Mammalia; Rodentia; Sciuridae
Description: tRNA.Val
Source: RNAcentral
GGUCCUAGCUCAGUGGUAGAGCGCUUGCCUGACACAUAUGAGGCCCUGGGCUCGAUCCUCAACACCA